GUAGGGAAUAUUGGGCAAUGGAGGCAACUCUGACCCAGCCAUGCCGCGUGCAGGAUGACGGCCCUCUGGGUUGUGAACUGCUUUUAUACGGGAAGAAAAAAUACUACGUGUAGUAUACUGACGGUACCGUAAGAAUAAGGAUCGGCUAACUCCGUGCCAGCAGCCGCGGUAAUACGGAGGAUCCAAGCGUUGUCCGGAUUUAUUGGGUUUAAAGGGUGCGUAGGCGGAUCUUUAAGUCAGUGGUGAAAGCCUGCAGCUUAACUGUAGAAUUGCCAUUGAAACUGAAGAGCUUGAAUGUGGUUAAAGUAGGCGGAAUGUAUCAUGUAGCGGUGAAAUGCUUAGAUAUGAUACAGAACACCGAUAGCGAAGGCAGCUUGCUGAACCAUUAUUGACGCUGAGGCACGAAAGCGUGGGGAGCGAACAGGAUUAGAUACCCGAGUAGUCC
Molecule: ribosomal RNA, 445 nt
Filed under: uncultured bacterium
Lineage: Bacteria
Description: partial 16S ribosomal RNA
Rfam family: Bacterial small subunit ribosomal RNA
Source: RNAcentral